Molecule: ribosomal RNA, 430 nt
Filed under: Pseudomonadota bacterium
Lineage: Bacteria; Pseudomonadati; Pseudomonadota
Description: Proteobacteria bacterium partial 16S ribosomal RNA
Rfam family: Bacterial small subunit ribosomal RNA
Source: RNAcentral
UGGGGAAUAUUGGACAAUGGGGGGAACCCUGAUCCAGCCAUGCCGCGUGUGUGAAGAAGGCCUUAUGGUUGUAAAGCACUUUAAGCGAGGAGGAGGGUACUGGUAUUAAUACUACCAGGUACUGGACGUUACUCGCAGAAUACGCACCGGCUAAAUCUGUGCCAGCAGCCGCGGUAAUACAGAGGGUGCGAGCGUUAAUCGGAUUUACUGGGCGUAAAGCGUGCGUAGGCGGCUAAUUGAGUCGGAUGUGAAAUCCCCGAGCUUAACUUGGGAAUUGCAUUCGAUACUGGUUAGCUAGAGUGUGGGAGAGGAUGGUAGAAUUCCAGGUGUAGCGGUGAAAUGCGUAGAGAUCUGGAGGAAUACCGAUGGCGAAGGCAGCCAUCUGGCCUAACACUGACGCUGAGGUACGAAAGCAUGGGGAGCAAACAGG